This 992-nucleotide ribosomal RNA is filed under the name uncultured organism. RNAcentral's name for it is "bacterial SSU rRNA". It matches the Rfam family "Bacterial small subunit ribosomal RNA", at positions 498 to 1487 of the family's 1533-position model. The record is from RNAcentral.
UAACUCCGUGCCAACAGCCGCGUAAUACAGCGGGUGCAAAGCGUUAUUCGGAAUUAUUGGGCGUAAAGGGCGCGUAGCCGGUAAUUCAAGUCAGCUGUGAAAGCCCGGGGCUCAACCCCGGAAGAGCAGUUGAAACUGGAUGACUUGAGUAUGGGAGAGGGAAGUGGAAUUCCUGGUGUAGAGGUGAAAUUCGUAGAUAUCAGGAGGAACACCGGAGGCGAAGGCGACUUCCUGGACCAAUACUGACGCUGAGGCGCGAAGGCGUGGGUAGCGAACAGGAUUAGAUACCCUGGUAGUCCACGCAGUAAACGAUGAUCACUAGGUGUAGCGGGUAUUGACCCCUGCUGUGCCGGAGCUAACGCAUUAAGUGAUCCGCCUGGGGAGUACGAUCGCAAGAUUAAAACUCAAAGGAAUUGACGGGGGCCCGCACAAGCGGUGGAGCAUGUGGUUUAAUUCGACGCAACGCGAAGAACCUUACCUGGAUUUGACAUCCCGGGGAGCUUCUGGAAACAGGAGUGUGCCCUUCGGGGAACCCGGAGACAGGUGCUGCAUGGCUGUCGUCAGCUCGUGUCGUGAGAUGUUGGGUUAAGUCCCGCAACGAGCGCAACCCUUAUCUUAAGUUACCAUCAUUUGGUUGGUGACUCUUGAGAUACUGCCCCGGUUAACGGGGAGGAAGGUGGGGAUGACGUCAAGUCCUCAUGGCCCUUAUGUCCAGGGCUACACACGUGCUACAAUGACAUGUACAAAGGGCAGCGACCUCGCGAGAGUGAGCUAAUCCCAUAAAGCAUGCCUCAGUUCGGAUUGGAGUCUGCAACUCGACUCCAUGAAGUUGGAAUCGCUAGUAAUCGCGGAUCAGCAUGCCGCGGUGAUACGUUCCCGGGCAUUGUACACACCGCCCGUCACACCAUGAGAGUUGACUGUACCAGAAGUUGUUGGGCUGACCCGCAACGGGAGGCAGGCACCUAAGGUAUGGUUGUAAUUAGGGUGAAGUC